CGGGCUGUGGUGUAGUGGUAGCACGAGUCCUUUGGGAGGAUUUAGCCUCGGUUCGAAUCCGAGCAGCCCGA
Molecule: transfer RNA, 71 nt
Filed under: Candidatus Magasanikiibacteriota bacterium
Lineage: Bacteria; Candidatus Magasanikiibacteriota
Description: tRNA-Pro
Rfam family: tRNA
About the family: Transfer RNA (tRNA) molecules are approximately 80 nucleotides in length. Their secondary structure includes four short double-helical elements and three loops (D, anti-codon, and T loops).
Source: RNAcentral